Molecule: ribosomal RNA, 88 nt
Filed under: uncultured bacterium
Lineage: Bacteria
Description: partial 16S ribosomal RNA
Source: RNAcentral
AAACGUUAGGUCCCGGGAACCGUCCUAAAACCCGGGGCCAAAGGGGAACGGUACGGGUUACGUCGAAGGAGUGUCGAUGACUGGGGUG